ACUACAGAGGUAUCUAAUCCUGUUUGCUCCCCACGCUUUCGUGCAUGAGCGUCAGUGUUAUCCCAGGAGGCUGCCUUCGCCAUCGGUGUUCCUCCGCAUAUCUACGCAUUUCACUGCUACACGCGGAAUUCCACCUCCCUCUGACACACUCUAGCUCGGUAGUUAAAAAUGCAGUUCCAAAGUUAAGCUCUGGAUUUCAUCUUUCUUUCCGAACCGCCUGCGCACGCUUUACGCCAGUAAUUCCGAUUAGCAACUUGCACCCUACGUAUUACCGCGGCUACUGUGCAUGGUUAGCCGGUGCUUAUUCUGCAGGUACCGUCAGUUGCACGGUAUUAUCGUGCCGUUUUCUUCCUGCCAAAGUGCUUUACAACCCGAAGGCCUUCAUCGCACACGCGGAGAUGGCUGGAUCAGGGUUUCCCCAUUGUCCAAAUUCCCCACUGCUGCGUCCCGUA
This 452-nucleotide unclassified non-coding RNA is filed under the name uncultured Bordetella sp. RNAcentral's name for it is "partial 16S-23S ribosomal RNA intergenic spacer". The record is from RNAcentral. Lineage: Bacteria; Pseudomonadati; Pseudomonadota; Betaproteobacteria; Burkholderiales; Alcaligenaceae.